GGCCCGAAGGAUGGCGCCUGGCGCAGGCGGACUUUUUCUGUACAACGAAAGUUAUGAAGGCAACUGACUCGAUCAAUCUAAAAAACUUUACAAAUGACAGUGACUGUUUUGCCAAAAAUGGAGCCAAAUGGCAUCAAACAGACUAGAGGUUAAAAGUGAAGAUCAGGGAAGGGAGCAGGAAUCCACUCAGGAAAGCUGACUGCUACCAUGAAACUUGUAGGGGAAAGAGAAGAGAGAGCAAGAAUUCCAAAAAAGUUGAAAUGAGGACAGGGAAGGAGUCCCCUCUCAGCUGCAAAUUCUGGAGACUGAAUGCUGGAGCUGGAGACUGAGGGAUCCCCAGAGAGCAUCACGAGAAGGUGUCACACCACUGUUGGAGGCGUCCAAAGCAAUCUCGGGAUUGCUUAGCAUUGGUGCCACACGUGUUCUGCAGAGGUUCCUAGAAGAGGUCUUCAUCUUUCUUGAGCACCAGGAACUGGGCAAGGACCACAUAUGCCUUGUCAAAGCCCCUUUCUUCCAGCUUCUUGCCCAGGACUUCACCAACCCCAGCUAAGCUCCGCCCUGGCUUUUCCCUCAUGGGCUGUGCCACGAAGUCUUGAUGCUUUUUGGGAGGCUGUCAUGUUGAUCAGGUUUAAUCAGCACCUCCAGUUCCU
Nycticebus coucang (slow loris) is the source of this 650-nucleotide long non-coding RNA. RefSeq lists it as uncharacterized. The record is from RefSeq and is a predicted model, not a curated record. The transcript has 3 exons. Lineage: Eukaryota; Metazoa; Chordata; Mammalia; Primates; Lorisidae.